AAAAAGACAAACCCUGAGUUUCCGUGUCCAACUUUGACUGUCCGUCUUAUAUGAAAUUUUUUUAUAAUUCGUAUUUUCAUUGUUAUUAGAUGAUAAAACAUGAUAAAUAUUUUAUGUAUGACUUGUUUUUUUAAUUUUUUUUAUAAUUUUUUUAAAUAAGACGAACGGUUAAACAUUGGAUACAAAAAUCAGGGUUUGCUUUUUUU
Non-coding RNA from Oryza glaberrima (African rice), 206 nucleotides. The record is from Rfam. Lineage: Eukaryota; Viridiplantae; Streptophyta; Magnoliopsida; Poales; Poaceae.